RNAcentral lists this ribosomal RNA (486 nucleotides) under uncultured bacterium. Its description in RNAcentral is "bacterial SSU rRNA". It matches the Rfam family "Bacterial small subunit ribosomal RNA", at positions 501 to 987 of the family's 1533-position model. The record is from RNAcentral.
CUACGUGCCAGCAGCCGCGGUAAUACGUAUGUCACAAGCGUUAUCCGGAUUUAUUGGGCGUAAAGCGCGUCUAGGUGGUUAUGUAAGUCUGAUGUGAAAAUGCAGGGCUCAACUCUGUAUUGCGUUGGAAACUGCAUGACUAGAGUACUGGAGAGGUAAGCGGAACUACAAGUGUAGAGGUGAAAUUCGUAGAUAUUUGUAGGAAUGCCGAUGGGGAAGCCAGCUUACUGGACAGAUACUGACGCUAAAGCGCGAAAGCGUGGGUAGCAAACAGGAUUAGAUACCCUGGUAGUCCACGCCCUAAACGAUGUCAAUUAGCUGUUGGGCAACUUGAUUGCUUAGUAGCGUAGCUAACGCGUGAAAUUGACCGCCUGGGGAGUACGGUCGCAAGAUUAAAACUCAAAGGAAUUGACGGGGACCCGCACAAGCGGUGGAUGAUGUGGAUUAAUUCGAUGCAACGCGAAGAACCUUACCUGGUCUUGACAU